UACGGAGGGUGCGAGCGUUGUCCGGAAUCACUGGGCGUAAAGGGCGCGUAGGCGGCCCGCGCAAGCGUGCGGUGAAAGCCCGGGGCUCAACCCCGGGUCGGCCGUGCGGACUGCGGGGCUCGAGCACUGUAGGGGCAGAUGGAAUUCCGGGUGUAGCGGUGGAAUGCGUAGAGAUCCGGAAGAACACCGGUGGCGAAGGCGGUCUGCUGGGCAGUAGCUGACGCUGAGGAGCGAAAGCUAGGGGAGCAAACGGG
Molecule: ribosomal RNA, 254 nt
Filed under: uncultured bacterium
Lineage: Bacteria
Description: partial 16S ribosomal RNA
Rfam family: Bacterial small subunit ribosomal RNA
Source: RNAcentral